Molecule: ribosomal RNA, 495 nt
Filed under: uncultured organism
Description: SSU rRNA
Rfam family: Bacterial small subunit ribosomal RNA
Source: RNAcentral
GGCUCAGGAUGAACGCUAGCGGCAGGCUUAACACAUGCAAGUCGAGGGGCGAGCGCGGGUAGCAAUACUCUGGCGGCGACCGGCGAAAGGGUGCGUAACGCGUGAGCAACUUGCCCGUAUCUGGGACAUAAGCGGUGGAAACGCCGUCUAAUUUCCCAUAACAACAGGAGCCGCAUGACUCCAGUUUGAAAGAUCCGUCGGAUACGGAUGGGCUCGCGAGACAUUAGCUAGUCGGCGUGGUAACGGCACACCGAGGCGACGAUGUCUAGGGGUUCUGAGAGGAAGGUCCCCCCACACUGGAACUGAGACACGGUCCAGACUCCUACGGGAGGCAGCAGUGAGGAAUAUUGGUCAAUGGGCGCAAGCCUGAACCAGCCAUGCCGCGUGCAGGAAUAAGGCCCUAUGGGUCGUAAACUUCUUUUGACGGGGAGCAAUAAGGCGUACGUGUACGCCGAUGAGAGUACUCGUCGAAUAAGCAUCGGCUAACUCCGUGCC